RNAcentral lists this ribosomal RNA (398 nucleotides) under uncultured bacterium. RNAcentral describes it as "bacterial SSU rRNA". It matches the Rfam family "Bacterial small subunit ribosomal RNA", at positions 28 to 426 of the family's 1533-position model. The record is from RNAcentral.
GACGAACGCUGGCGGCGUGCUUAACACAUGCAAGUCGAGCGGUAAGGCCCUUUCGGGGGUACACGAGCGGCGAACGGGUGAGUAACACGUGGGUGACCUGCCCUCAGCUCUGGGAUAAGCCUGGGAAACCGGGUCUAAUACUGGAUAUGACUCCAUGACGCAUGUUGUGGGGUGGAAAGCCUUGUGCGGCUGAGGAUGGGCCCGCGGCCUAUCAGCUUGUUGGUGGGGUGANGGCCUACCAAGGCGACGACGGGUAGCCGGCCUGAGAGGGCGACCGGCCACACUGGGACUGAGACACGGCCCAGACUCCUACGGGAGGCAGCAGGUGGGGAAUCUUGCGCAAUGGGCGAAAGCCUGACGCAGCAACGCCGCGUGGGGAUGAAUGCCUUCGGGUUCGU